Molecule: long non-coding RNA, 1923 nt
Organism: Nasonia vitripennis (jewel wasp)
Lineage: Eukaryota; Metazoa; Arthropoda; Insecta; Hymenoptera; Pteromalidae
Exons: 9
Source: RefSeq, a predicted model, not a curated record
GCAGUAUGUUCUGCUACGCGCACGUAAACAACUGUGCAGACAGCAGUAACGUUUAGGUUAUCUAUUGAGGAUUGCGAGUCGUGUCAGAAAUGGGCAACGAGCUGCACAUCAUCCAUAUUCUCAACGAUCUCAAAGAUUUUCUAUCAUGACUGGGUUACAUUUGACUAACUUGAAGUAAAUAAAGUCUGUCCAAUCAAUGGUUUUGCUGAAAGACCAACGCUUUCUCGGCAAAUUCGUCUUGCAGAAGGUACAGAUUCUAGUUGUAAAGGUUUGAAUGUCAAUGACACACUAUCGGUGAAGGUAUCGAAUGUCGUUGUUCAAGCACAACCUACAAAGAAAGUUGAGACUCCAGUUGAAUCUACUCAAGUUACUGAAAAGAUGACUAACUGCAAUGUACAGCCGACUGCACCUUUGACAAGCCCACAACCAAAGCCUGUAUCUCAGUUAACGGAGUAUGAGAGAGUACAAAACAAAAUUAAAAGCAUAUACCCAAUGUAAUGGAUUCUAUUAAAGUCGGUACAUCGGGAUUCAUGUUGUUAAACAAGGAAAGUAAUGGUGACUAUAAUUGAACACUUGUACCCGACGAUGAAAUGGACAACUAUUGCCAAUUGAUUGAUGACAUAACAGUAGUUCCAAACGUUGGCGAUAUGGUAUGUGGUUUAAUCGAGGAUGGUGAGCUGUGGUCUAGAGGCAUAGUCUUAAGAACAACCUCACAAAUCAGAUUAGCUGCCAUUGACGAAAGUCUUUGAUACAGUCAGUUGCACGCCUGUGCCUAAACAAUUCAGUAAUAUUUGCAGUAUGGGUGUAAUGGGUAAACUUUUACCGAACACUCAGAUGCCUGAGCCCAGACCUUCACAUUUACAAUUUACUGUUGACAAUGUUUCGAGUGAGUCAGCUAUGAUAACAUUAAAAUCCGAAGAAGUGGAAAACAUUGGCAAGGCUCUAAUAAUAUAAUAAAUAAAUGGAUUCCUAAUUCUGAAGAAAAAGGAAUCUUGUAUGCUCCCUUGAGCAAUGGCAAUGAGGUGAUGCUCAUGCAGUUUUCUAGUCAAAAUUCAUUGCACGUACGCAAUAUGGAAAAUCUCGAGAAGGAACGAGUUCAUAAACUGGACCAAGAUGUUGAUAAACAUGCUCUAAAUCAAAAGCCUCUGAGUGCCCCGCUAGUAAUUGGGCAGAUAGUCUUAGCACACUACAUCUUAGAUAACAAUUAUUAUAGAGCAAUAGUGACUGCAGUAAAAUACAAAAAUUGAAUACAUUGAUUACGGCAAUGACGAGGAAGUCAGUACUGAUGAACUAUUUGAGUUGUCAGAGGAACUUAAAGAACAAACGUCAGGUAUAAGAAAAAUAAAGCUGAAAGAUGUACCAGAAAAUGUUCCGUUAACUCAAGAAGCAAAAGAUUACUUUGAUCAACUAAUUAUUAAUAGUACAAUUCUAAAGUGCACUUUUACUGGCGAUCCACUAAAAGAUGGUGUUGUAUUGAAAACCGACAAAAAUGAAAAUGAUAAUGACGUUCUAAGGACCUAUUUGAAACCUACAUGGGAAAGAGGUGUAGAAUAUGAUAAAAAAGUGUACACUUUAUAUGAUUUACCAGAUCCAAAGUUAGGAGAUGUUGGAGAUUUAAUAAAAGCAAUUGUAUUAUGUUACUAUGAAGAGAACGGAAGUCUCAUUUUGUGUCCAGAUGAUCAGAUUGCCCUUAAUGCCAUAUAUUAUGACAUGCAGAAAAUCGCUUUUUUCUCUCCUUUUUUAUCGUCCAGUGAAAGAGAACCCUGCUCGGAGAUAAAUAGAAAAGAUUUUCGCUUGAAUUCGUGCAAUUAAAGCGUUUGUGAUUAUAAAAAAAAAGCCUUCGAUUGUAAAAAAAUCAUUCAUUUUUCAUUCUCCAUUGUUAAACUGUGUACAAACUAAAUAAAGUCUUUAAAAAGUCAUAAU